Molecule: ribosomal RNA, 300 nt
Filed under: uncultured cyanobacterium
Lineage: Bacteria; Bacillati; Cyanobacteriota
Description: bacterial SSU rRNA
Rfam family: Bacterial small subunit ribosomal RNA
Source: RNAcentral
ACGUAAGAACCUACCUUUAGGAGGAGGAUAACAACUGGAAACGGUUGCUAAUACUCCAUAUGCUGAGGAGUGAAAGGGAACCCGCCUAAAGACGGGCUUGCGGCUGAUUAGCUAGUUGGUGAGGUAAUGGCUUACCAAGGCGACGAUCAGUAGCUGGUCUGAGAGGACGAUCAGCCACACUGGGACUGAGACACGGCCCAGACUCCUACGGGAGGCAGCAGUGAGGAAUUUUCCGCAAUGGGUGAAAGCCUGACGGAGCAAUACCGCGUGAAGGAUGACGGCCCGUGGGUUGUAAACUUC